AACGAACGCUGGCGGUAUGCUUUACACAUGCAAGUCGAACGGGCAAGAGCCGUAGCAAUACGGAGUUCUGCUAGUGGCAAACGGGUGAGUAACGCGUGGGAAACUACCUUAUAGUACGGAAUAGCCCCGGGAAACUGGGAUUAAUACCGUAUACGCUCUUCGGAGGAAAGAUUUAUCGCUAUAAGAUGUGCCCGCGUUAGAUUAGCUUGUUGGUGAGGUAAUGGCUCACCAAGGCGACGAUCUAUAGCUGGUUUGAGAGGAUGAUCAGCCACACUGGAACUGAGACACGGGCCAGACUUCUACGGGAUGCAGCAGUGGGGAAUAUUGGACAAUGGGCGAAAGCCUGAUCCAGCAAUACCGCGUGAGUGAUGAAGGCCUUAGGGUUGUAAAACUCUUUCAGUGGGGAAGAUAAUGACGGUACCCACAGAAGAAGCACCGGCUAACUCCGUGCCAGCAGCCGCGGUAA
RNAcentral lists this ribosomal RNA (466 nucleotides) under uncultured bacterium. RNAcentral's name for it is "partial 16S ribosomal RNA". It matches the Rfam family "Bacterial small subunit ribosomal RNA", at positions 29 to 523 of the family's 1533-position model. The record is from RNAcentral.